GACGAACGCUGGCGGCGUGCUUAACACAUGCAAGUCGAACGGAAAGGCCCUGCUUUUGUGGGGUGCUCGAGUGGCGAACGGGUGAGUAACACGUGAGUAACCGGCCCUUGACUUUGGGAUAACUUCAGGAAACUGGGGCUAAUACCGGAAAGGAGCUCCUGCUGCAGGGUGGGGGUGGGAAAGUUUCGGCGGUUGGGGAUGGACUCGCGGCUUAUCAGCUUGUUGGUGGGGUAGUGGCUUACCAAGGCUUUGACGGGUAGCCGGCCUGAGAGGGUGACCGGCCACAUUGGGACUGAGAUACGGCCCAGACUCCUACGGGAGGCAGCAGUGGGGAAUAUUGCACAAUGGGCGGAAGCCUGAUGCAGCAACGCCGCGUGCGGGAUGACGGCCUUCGGGUUGUAAACCGCUUUCGCCUGUGACGAAGCGUGAGUGACGGUAAUGGGUAAAGAAGCACCGGCUAACUACGUG
This 468-nucleotide ribosomal RNA is filed under the name uncultured bacterium. RNAcentral describes it as "partial 16S ribosomal RNA". It matches the Rfam family "Bacterial small subunit ribosomal RNA", at positions 28 to 507 of the family's 1533-position model. The record is from RNAcentral.